Molecule: transfer RNA, 73 nt
Filed under: Ailuropoda melanoleuca (giant panda)
Lineage: Eukaryota; Metazoa; Chordata; Mammalia; Carnivora; Ursidae
Rfam family: tRNA
About the family: Transfer RNA (tRNA) molecules are approximately 80 nucleotides in length. Their secondary structure includes four short double-helical elements and three loops (D, anti-codon, and T loops). Further hydrogen bonds mediate the characteristic L-shaped molecular structure. tRNAs have two regions of fundamental functional importance: the anti-codon, which is responsible for specific mRNA codon recognition, and the 3' end, to which the tRNAs corresponding amino acid is attached (by aminoacyl-tRNA synthetases). tRNAs cope with the degeneracy of the genetic code in two manners: having more than one tRNA (with a specific anti-codon) for a particular amino acid; and 'wobble' base-pairing, i.e. permitting non-standard base-pairing at the 3rd anti-codon position.
Source: Rfam by way of RNAcentral
GCCUGGCUGGCUCAGUCGGUAAAGUAUGUGACUCUUGAUCUCAAGGUCAUGAGUUCAAGGCCCAUGUUGGGCA